GAUGUAGGUCAGUGGUAGAGUAUGUGCUUAGCAUACACUGGGUCCUGGGUUCAAUUCCCAGCAUC
This 65-nucleotide transfer RNA is filed under the name Cavia porcellus (domestic guinea pig). It matches the Rfam family "tRNA". Rfam says of the family: Transfer RNA (tRNA) molecules are approximately 80 nucleotides in length. The record is from Rfam by way of RNAcentral. Lineage: Eukaryota; Metazoa; Chordata; Mammalia; Rodentia; Caviidae.